RNAcentral lists this ribosomal RNA (851 nucleotides) under uncultured bacterium. RNAcentral describes it as "bacterial SSU rRNA". It matches the Rfam family "Bacterial small subunit ribosomal RNA", at positions 54 to 905 of the family's 1533-position model. The record is from RNAcentral.
CAUGCAGUCGAGGGGCAGCACAGGUAGCAAUACUGGGUGGCGACCGGCAAACGGGUGCGGAACACGUACGUAACCUUCCUUUAAGUGGGAGAUAGCCCGAAGAAAUUCGGAUUAAUACCCCAUAAGAUUGUGGAAUGGCAUCAUUCAGCAAUUAAAGAAUUUCGCUUAAAGAUGGGCGUGCGGCUGAUUAGGUAGUUGGUGAGGUAACGGCUCACCAAGCCAACGAUCAGUAACUGGCGUGAGAGCGCGACCAGUCACACGGGCACUGAGACACGGGCCCGACUCCUACGGGAGGCAGCAGUAAGGAAUAUUGGUCAAUGGACGCAAGUCUGAACCAGCCAUGCCGCGUGAAGGAUGAAGGUCCUCUGGAUUGUAAACUUCUUUUAUAUGGGAAGAAACCACUUUUUUCUAAAGGUGUUGACGGUACCAUAGGAAUAAGCACCGGCUAACUCCGUGCCAGCAGCCGCGGUAAUACGGAGGGUGCAAGCGUUAUCCGGAUUCACUGGGUUUAAAGGGUGCGUAGGCGGAUUAGUAAGUCCGUGGUGAAAUCUCCGAGCUUAACUCGGAAACUGCCGUGGAUACUAUUAAUCUUGAAUACUGUGGAGGUUAGCGGAAUAUGUCAUGUAGCGGUGAAAUGCAUAGAUAUGACAUAGAACACCAAUUGCGAAGGCAGUUGGCUACACAGAGAUUGACGCUGAGGCACGAAAGCGUGGGGAUCAAACAGGAUUAGAUACCCUGGUAGUCCACGCCCUAAACGAUGAUUACUCGACAUUUGCGAUAUACAGUAAGUGUCUGAGCGAAAGCAUUAAGUAAUCCACCUGGGAAGUACGACCGCAAGGUUGAAACUCAAA